GAGAUCAGACAGAAGCGGAAGUGGUUUCGUGCCCUUCAAGUCCAGCACAGCCUUGCCUUGGGGCCUUCAGCUUAGGCACGGAAUCUUCUUUGGCCUGGAAUAGCCGUCCCAAAGACUGUCCCAUGAUUGGUUCCUUCACACCAUCUGCUUUAGCUCAGCAGGGCUUUCUCAGGAGUACAUCGCAUCUAGCCAAGCCGACCUUCCCGCUCUGUCAUGUCGGGCCGUUUCCUUGCCUUCUUGCACACAGCACUAUCUGAAAUAAUCUCCUUCCAGUCAUUCAGCACAUUCAUUGAGUGCCUGCUCGUAUGCCCUGUCUUAUGCACUUGGGAUAGAUCAAGGUACAAAUGCAACACCUUCUCUACCCUGGUGGAAUUUACAGGCCUUGUGAAUUACAUUGUUUCCUUUUUCAUCAUCCGCCUCUG
Homo sapiens (human) is the source of this 422-nucleotide long non-coding RNA. Ensembl annotates it as TPTE2 antisense RNA 1. Its record names the gene TPTE2-AS1. The record is from Ensembl. NCBI's taxonomy places the organism in Eukaryota, Metazoa, Chordata, Mammalia, Primates, Hominidae.